CGCUCACCGACCUGUCCCCCAGCCUCCGAUCUGCCCGUUUUGACAGCAGCGACCCUACGCAUCAGCCUUUCCUUGCGGUGACUCAUGAGUUUCUUGGUCAGGCUCCUCCAUCCGUGGCAGAGCAGGCGCGGAGCGGGAGCGGGGAUUGUCGCUGUCGGUCACUCUCGGAUCCCUGUCUAGCACAUCCCCCACAUGGGCUCUCGGUCGCUGGCGUCACUGGGUUGUGCAGCUCGGACUGUGUUGCUUAGCAACGAAAUAACAAACAAGCCUUACUGGAAUACUUCAGUAAUAGCCAAAAAAUCGCCAGCCCUGAGCUUCCAGUUCAAGGCAUCAUUACUCCUCUUGUGAUGCACUAUGCACAACUUCUAUGGAUAUUUAAAAUGCUCUCCAGUUGAAUUCUGUAGAUCACACACACAGGUACCCAUGUAUGAGGUUGUCCCACUGGCCGAGGCCUGGAGAGAAGCUGCGGGAGAUUACAGGGCAGCUGGCUGAGGCUGGGCUUGGUUGAGCUGGUUGAGGACGAUCCUGGGGCUCGGGUGCAGGUGACGACAGCCACCAGGGAGGAGCUCUUCUCAUGGUGAUGGCAGAAGUACAGGAGGGCAAGCCCCGAAAGGCAAGCACACUUGCGUCAUGUGCGCGAAAUCCUAUCGGCCAAAGCAUCACCGCCGCCUUCCGCGGGUGGAGUGGGGAAGGGUCCUCCUCUUACAGAGGUUAGGUGGGUGGGAGAAGGUUGUUGAGCAAUAAUCUAUCACCUGGCACAAGGUUUUUAGUAAUGGAACUAAAGGAUCAAACAUAAUCCCACUCCUAGUGGGACUCCUACCAUCAGGAAACUCCUGACCUACCGGAUCGUGAACUUCUCAGAAUAAUGUAUCAAGACUCUUUCCAGAAAUGUUUGGAUUAAACCCCAUUAAGCCUUUAAACUUAACUUCCAGUACAUAGGAGACAUAAGGAGGGCUAGAGGGAGAAGCUGAAUGGAUACUGAAUCAGUUAUUUCCUGCUCAGUAACAAAGUACCCCCAAGCUGAGCUGCUUACACAGCAAUGAACAGUAGCUCACAGGAUCGUGCAAGAGAGAGCAAGGAGAAAGCCAGGUGUGACCCAGUCUCAGAGGCAUGAGCUGUCACUUUUGCUCAUUCUUUUUGUUAGAAAUGAGUCAGAGGACAGCUGACACUCCAGAGGAAUUUCUACCAUUGAAUCAAGAGAAAGCAUUUGUGGACAUAUUUAAAAAUCACUACUGAAAUUAUUUGAGAUAAAGAGAUAAAGAGACCAAAAGCAGUGUUUCACAUUCCUGACUGGCUCCUGGGUUUUUUUUUGUUUUUUUGUUUUUUUUUUUUUUUUUUUUUUUUUUUAAGUCAUAUGAGUAAUUCUGGGGACAAAUGGGGAAACUGGGAUGUGAAACAAGUGUUACACAGAUUGGGGAAUGGUUGAUAAUUUUCAUAGGUGUGACAAGGGCAUUGUGGCGACAUGGAGGGAGGUGCUUAUUCUUAGAAGAUGCAGAUGGAGGUAUUGGGCAGUGAAAUGGCUUGAUGUCUGCAACUUGUUUUCAAACAGGUAAAACAAACAAACAAAAAAGAGAUAAAGCACAUGAGCCAGGGGUGCCUGGGUGGCUCAGUGGGUUAAAGCCUCUGCGUUUGACUCAGGUCACGAUCUCAGGGUCCUGGGAUUGAGCCCCCCCCCCCCCCCGCCCCGCAUCGGGCUCUCUGCUCAGCGGGGAGCCUGCUUCCUCCUCUCUCUCUCUCUGCCUGCCUCUCUGCCUACUUGUGAUCUCUGUCUGCCAAAUAAAUAAAUAAAAUCUUUUAAAAAAAA
This is a long non-coding RNA of Mustela lutreola (European mink), 1804 nucleotides long. RefSeq lists it as uncharacterized. Lineage: Eukaryota; Metazoa; Chordata; Mammalia; Carnivora; Mustelidae. The transcript has 5 exons. The record is from RefSeq and is a predicted model, not a curated record.